GUAGGGUGCGAGCGUUGUCCGGAAUUAUUGGGCGUAAAGAGCUCGUAGGCGGUUUGUUGCGUCGGCUGUGAAAACUUCACGCUUAACGUGGAGCCUGCAGUCGAUACGGGCAGACUUGAGUUCGGCAGGGGAGACUGGAAUUCCUGGUGUAGCGGUGAAAUGCGCAGAUAUCAGGAGGAACACCGGUGGCGAAGGCGGGUCUCUGGGCCGAUACUGACGCUGAGGAGCGAAAGCGUGGGGAGCGAACAGGAUUAGAUACCCUGGUAGUCCACGCCGUAAACGGUGGGUGCUAGGUGUGGGGGACUUCCACGUCCUCCGUGCCGCAGCUAACGCAUUAAGCACCCCGCCUGGGGAGUACGGCCGCAAGGCUAAA
Molecule: ribosomal RNA, 373 nt
Filed under: uncultured bacterium
Lineage: Bacteria
Description: bacterial SSU rRNA
Rfam family: Bacterial small subunit ribosomal RNA
Source: RNAcentral